GUGCUUGCUUCGGUAGUACAUAUACUAAAAUUGAAAUGAUACAGAGAUUAGCACAGACCCCGUGCAAGGAUGACAUGCAAAUUCAUGAUGUACUCCAUAUUUUU
Small nuclear RNA from Cercocebus atys (sooty mangabey), 104 nucleotides. Lineage: Eukaryota; Metazoa; Chordata; Mammalia; Primates; Cercopithecidae. The record is from Ensembl.